This 872-nucleotide ribosomal RNA is filed under the name Mensularia nodulosa. RNAcentral's name for it is "eukaryotic LSU rRNA". It matches the Rfam family "Eukaryotic large subunit ribosomal RNA", at positions 66 to 915 of the family's 3401-position model. Lineage: Eukaryota; Fungi; Basidiomycota; Agaricomycetes; Hymenochaetales; Hymenochaetaceae. The record is from RNAcentral.
UAACAAGGAUUCCCCUAGUAACUGCGAGUGAAGCGGGAUGAGCUCAAAUUUAAAAUCUGGCGGUCUCUGGCCGUCCGAGUUGUAGUCUGGAGAAGCGUUUUCCGCGUCGGACCGUGUACAAGUCUCCUGGAAUGGAGCGUCAUAGAGGGUGAGAAUCCCGUCCAUGGCACGGACAGCCGAUGCUCUGUGAUACGCUCUCGAAGAGUCGAGUUGUUUGGGAAUGCAGCUCAAAAUGGGUGGUAAAUUCCAUCUAAAGCUAAAUAUUGGCGAGAGACCGAUAGCGAACAAGUACCGUGAGGGAAAGAUGAAAAGCACUUUGAAAAGAGAGUUAAACAGUACGUGAAAUUGUUGAAAGGGAAACGCUUGAAGUCAGUCGCGUCCCGUAGAACUCAGCCUGGUUUCGGCCUGGUGUACUUUCUAUGUGGACGGGUCAACAUCAAUUUUGGCCGGUGGACAAAGGUGAGGGGAAUGUAGCGUCGCUUCGGUGACGUGUUAUAGCCCCUUGCUGUAUACACUGGUUGGGAUUGAGGACUGCAGCGCGCCUUAUUGGCCGGGGGUUCGCCCUACGUACCGCGCUUAGGAUGUUGGCAUAAUGGCUUUAAGCGACCCGUCUUGAAACACGGACCAAGGAGUCUAACAUGUUUGCGAGUGUUCGGGUGGAAAACCCUUGCGCGUAAUGAAAGUGAAAGUUGGGAUCCUCCGCGAGGGGGUGCACCGACGCCCGGCCCUGAAGUUCUCUGACGGUGCUGCGGUAGAGCAAGUAUGUUGGGACCCGAAAGAUGGUGAACUAUGCCUGAAUAGGGCGAAGCCAGAGGAAACUCUGGUGGAGGCUCGUAGCGAUUCUGACGUGCAAAUCGAUCGUCAAAUUUGGG